Molecule: long non-coding RNA, 247 nt
Filed under: Cicer arietinum (chickpea)
Lineage: Eukaryota; Viridiplantae; Streptophyta; Magnoliopsida; Fabales; Fabaceae
Description: long non-coding RNA (CARI_LNC001525)
Source: RNAcentral
GCCUGCAGAUUAAUUAUUUUCACAUUUUUAUAUUUGUAGUACAAGUGCAAUUACUAUUUGUUAGAAGUACAAUCACUAAUGUGCUACAACGACUUUCUUAUCUAGAUCUUACGCCACAGAAUAAUCUACCCUAAACAUGAAUGAAAAUAUUGUAAACAAGCAUGAAUGAAAAUAUUGUAAACAAGCAUGAAUGAAAAUAAGUCCUGCAAGUAGGUGAUUCUCAAACAUGUAGUUAGGUACCAAUUAC